This 253-nucleotide ribosomal RNA is filed under the name uncultured bacterium. RNAcentral describes it as "partial 16S ribosomal RNA". It matches the Rfam family "Bacterial small subunit ribosomal RNA", at positions 524 to 776 of the family's 1533-position model. The record is from RNAcentral.
UACGUAGGGGGCUAGCGUUGUCCGGAUUUAUUGGGCGUAAAGAGCGUGUAGGCGGCCAUGUAGGUCCGGUGUGAAAACUCGAGGCUUAACCUCGAGAUGUCAUCGGAAACCAUUUGGCUAGAGUCCGGAAGAGGAGAGUGGAAUUCCUGGUGUAGCGGUGAAAUGCGUAGAUAUCUGGAGGAAUACCGGUGGCGAAGGCGGCAUCCUGGACCGACAUUGACGCUGAUGAGCGAAAGCUAGGGGAGCAAACGGG